AUUGAACGCUGGCGGCAUGCCUUACACAUGCAAGUCGAACGGUAACAGGUCUUCGGAUGCUGACGAGUGGCGAACGGGUGAGUAAUACAUCGGAACGUGCCCGAUCGUGGGGGAUAACGAGGCGAAAGCUUUGCUAAUACCGCAUACGAUCUACGGAUGAAAGCGGGGGAUCUUCGGACCUCGCGCGGACGGAGCGGCCGAUGGCAGAUUAGGUAGUUGGUGGGAUAAAAGCUUACCAAGCCGACGAUCUGUAGCUGGUCUGAGAGGAUGAUCAGCCACACUGGGACUGAGACACGGCCCAGACCCCUACGGGAGGCAGCAGUGGGGAAUUUUGGACAAUGGGCGAAAGCCUGAUCCAGCCAUGCCGCGUGCAGGAUGAAGGCCUUCGGGUUGUAAACUGCUUUUGUACGGAACGAAAAGCCUCUUUCUAAUAAAGAGGGGUCAUGACGGUACCGUAAGAAUAAGCACCGGCUAACUACGUG
Molecule: ribosomal RNA, 482 nt
Filed under: uncultured bacterium
Lineage: Bacteria
Description: partial 16S ribosomal RNA
Rfam family: Bacterial small subunit ribosomal RNA
Source: RNAcentral